GGCUCUUUGCAGGCUGCCUGUCUUGGACAGAAAGGUCGGCUCCCCUGAAACACAUUAGUGGCAUCUGAGCUGCUGCUGUAGGCGUGAUAAAUAUCUAUGCCUCUGGUAUGCUGCAUGAACAGAUCGCGCUGCUCAGAACCAAACUUGAAAAACUUGACAAACUUGACCUCAAAUCAGGUAGGACUACCCGCUGAACUUAA
RNAcentral lists this unclassified non-coding RNA (200 nucleotides) under soil metagenome. RNAcentral's name for it is "partial contains internal transcribed spacer 2 and large subunit ribosomal RNA". The record is from RNAcentral.